CCUACGGGCGGCAGCAGUGAGGAAUAUUGGUCAAUGGACGCAAGUCUGAACCAGCCAUGCCGCGUGCAGGAAGACGGCUCUAUGAGUUGUAAACUGCUUUUGUACGAGUGUACCUGAAGAAAAAGCAUCGGCUAACUCCGUGCCAGCAGCCGCGGUAAUACGGAGGAUGCGAGCGUUAUCCGGAUUUAUUGGGUUUAAAGGGUGCGCAGGCGGUCUGUUAAGUCAGCGGUAAAAGCCCGGGGCGCAACCCCGGCCCGCCGUUGAAACUGGCAGUCUCGAGUUGGAGAGAAGUAUGCGGAAUGCGCGGUGUAGCGGUGAAAUGCAUAGAUAUCGCGCAGAACUCCGAUUGCGAAGGCAGCAUGCCGGCUCCACACUGACGCUGAGGCACGAAAGCGUGGGUAUCGAACAGGAUUAGAUACCCGGGUAGUC
Molecule: ribosomal RNA, 429 nt
Filed under: uncultured bacterium
Lineage: Bacteria
Description: partial 16S ribosomal RNA
Rfam family: Bacterial small subunit ribosomal RNA
Source: RNAcentral